AUUCUUAUCAGAAUCUCAGCUAUGAGAAAUAAUAAAUGUGAAGCGCCAUGUAAGCAGUAGUUCUCAACAUUUUCUAAUUUAAGUACCCAAAUCCCUGCCCCUUCUCUUCCCCAAAUAUGUCCUUGCGUUGGAAAAAGAGAAACUGCCCUGGUUGAUUGCGUCUGGGGACUCAGAUCUCUGCUUGCCAGGGGCCUCUUUCCUUCCUUCCCUUAGCCCCUGAAGCACUGGGGAACCACUGGAGCUCCAUGGAACCUAGUUUGAGAAUCGACCUUAAAGUUUCUGCAAUCCUUCCGCUCACUCCAUCAGUGUUCUGCUAUGCGUUCCGUAGGAUAUUAACAAGCGCUUUGUGAAGAAAGGACUCUGGGAUUGUUCCAUGGCCUGCCAAAAUCAGACAUGCUUUCCCUUCUCGAACUAGCUCACACUUGGAUUCUUUUGAGAUGGAAACGCUCGUGUACCAAGAGACAGGAACUGGACAAAAGGUAACACACACCCUUAAUUUCUCUUCACAGGCUAAGCCAGCAGACUGUCCCUGUUGCUCCCUGCCAUCUGCUGAAGGCGCAACUCUAUGGUUUUCCCACUGGUCUGAUUGAGGAAGCCACCCCUCAUUCUCCUCCUUCAUCUCCAGGGAAACUCUUAACCCUAGUAAAAGUGUAGUGCUUUGAAUCCCUCGAGGAAGGUGUGCCUGCAAAGCCAAGGGUGUGACUAGAUCAGCCAGGAUCUUCCUGUUCUGACCAAAGGAGCCAAUUAGAUGAUCUAAUGGGAAUCUUUUUUGUCAUUCAGAAAUUAUAUGAUGCUGUGAAGCUGCCCACUCUUAUGUACCCUUGAUGAUGAUAAUAAUGUCUCCUUCCAGAGUCACAUAGCAAAAUGUAAUAACCUCCAGUGGCAGCCUUGGAGUUAAUGACCCUUCACCCAUUUGAUUGCUGGGUAGAGUGAGGCAAAAAAAGAUCAGAGGCCUAGCUCACCUUCCCUCUUCCCUCAGCAGGGAUACUUGCCCAGUGGGCUCACUGAAAGCAGGAGUCAUAUUUCUAUACCAUCAAUCUGAAAUUCCAGCUACAGCAGAAUUCCCCCCCCCAAUUUUUUUGGGGGGUGGGGGGGAGUAGUGUUUUGGGGAACACUAGUCUCAUGGGAGACUCUGAGGGGAGUUUGGAAAAUGUUUCUAGUCCUUCAUUAGCUUUUCUUAUGUACAUUAGCAUAUUAAAGGCUCUGAGAAGUCUUGUAGUAAAGGCAUCUUUUUUUAGUUGUUAUUA
RNAcentral lists this long non-coding RNA (1247 nucleotides) under Capra hircus (goat). RNAcentral describes it as "lncRNA (ENSCHIG00010031855.1)". Lineage: Eukaryota; Metazoa; Chordata; Mammalia; Artiodactyla; Bovidae. The record is from RNAcentral.